UGGCAGGUAUAAGUAACGCAAAGACGGGUGAGAUCCCCGUCCGCCGAAAACCUAAGGUUUCCUGGGUAAAGGCAAUCUGCCCAGGGUAAGUCGGCCCCUAAGGCGAGGACGAAAGUCGUAGUCGAUGGGAAUCUGGUUCAUAUUCCAGAACCUUUAUUAGUUUCGAAGGCAAGACGCAUGAGGUGAAACCAGGCCGGGCGACGGUUGUCCCGGUCAAAGUAAUAAGCUUUUGAGGUCUAUAGGCAAAUCCGUAGACUGAGGCGAGUUGCGAAGCGAGUGGAAAGAAAGUUGAGGCGAAGCUGGUGUAAUCAAGGUGCCGAGAAAUACUGUCUAAGGCUAGGCUAGUAAGGACCGUACCGGAAACCGACACAGGUAGGUAGGAUGAGUAAUCUAAGGCGCACGAGAGACCUCGCGUUAAGGAACUCGGCAAAAUGCACACGUAACUUCGGGAGAAGUGUGGCCCCUUUUUGGUAAAAAAUGGGGGGUGGCACAGAGCAGGCCCAGGCGACUGUUUAUCAAAAACACAGCCAUCUGCGAAUCAGUAAUGAGACGUAUAGGUGGUGACACCUGCCCGGUGCUGGAAGGUUAAGAGGAGCGGUUAGACGAGCGUCGAAGCUGUGAAUCGAAGCACCAGUAAACGGCGGCCGUAACUAUAACGGUCCUAAGGUAGCGAAAUUCCUUGUCGGGUAAGUUCCGACCCGCACGAAUGGUGUAACGAUUCUGGGCGCUGUCUCAACGCGAGACUCGGUGAAAUUUAUAUACCGGUAAAGAAGCCGGUUACCCACAGUUAGACGGAAAGACCCCGUGAACCUUCACCGUAACUUACUAUUGGGAUCUUAUUUAUCAUGUGUAGGAUAGGUGGGAGACUGUGAUCCGUGGCCGUUAGGCUGCGAGGAGUCGUUGGUGAAAUACCACCCUUGAUGAAUGAGAUUUCUAACCCAUGCCAUGAAGCUGGUGUGGGGACAGUGGUAGGCAGGCGGUUUGACUGGGGCGGUCGCCUCCUAAAGAGUAACGGAGGUGCGCGAAGGUCCCCUCGCGCUGGUUGGAAAUCAGCGUACGAGUGUAAAGGCACAAGGGGGCUUGACUGCGAGACUGACUGGUCGAGCAGGUACGAAAGUAGGUCUUAGUGAUCUGGUGGUUGCGAGUGGAAGCGCCAUCACUUAACGGACAAAAGGUACUCCGGGGAUAACAGGCUGAUCUUCCCCAAGAGUUCACAUCGACGGGAAGGUUUGGCACCUCGAUGUCGGCUCAUCGCAUCCUGGGGCUGGAGCAGGUCCCAAGGGUUUGGCUGUUCGCCAAUUAAAGCGGUACGUGAGCUGGGUUCAGAACGUCGCGAGACAGUUCGGUCCCUAUCUGCUGUGGGCGUUGGAUGAUUGAGAGGGUCUGCUUUUAGUACGAGAGGACCGAAGUGGACGAACCUCUGGUGUAUCUGUUAUCCUGCCAAGGGUAAGUGCAGAGUAGCUACGUUCGGAAUGGAUAACCGCUGAAAGCAUCUAAGUGGGAAGCCAUCCUCAAGAUAAAUCAUCCCUGGGGGUUAACCCCCCUAAAGACUCCAGAGAGACUAUCUGGUUGAUAGGCUGCAAGUCUAAGCAUAGUAAUGUGUUCAGCCGAGCAGUACUAAUAAGUCGUGAGGCUUGACC
This 1640-nucleotide ribosomal RNA is filed under the name metagenome. Its description in RNAcentral is "bacterial LSU rRNA". It matches the Rfam family "Bacterial large subunit ribosomal RNA", at positions 1294 to 2925 of the family's 2925-position model. The record is from RNAcentral.